The submitters of this non-coding RNA (70 nucleotides) gave its source as unclassified sequences. The record is from Rfam.
AAGGUUCCGGUUCACGCCCGAGCCCACCGCCCUGGCGGGGCGGCGCGGCGCUGACAGCGACCCGGCGACC